AUCUGGGUCUGUGUAACCCCUCUCCACUACUAGUCGGUGCCCUGAGAAGCGUAGAGCCACGCUUUCUAUAGCGAUCACGACUUUCUUUCAGCACCUCCAAAUGAUCUUUGCCAGAUUUACGGGCCGAAGUCAGGCUGACAACUGGGAAAACAGAGCCAUGGAGAAGGCCGGCAUUCCAGGGGCCAGCGGUGAUUUCCUAUCAGACGGUCCUCAGCAUGGAAUUAUUGAUAGCUGUGAUGCCGAAAGGGAGCCAGUUGGCUAAUGCCUGGAAGGGCUGAACCCCCGCUCACGGAUGAUCUGCUGCAAGAUAUCUUAAAUAGACUGAAGCCCUGACUCCGCAAGGAACUCAGACUGCCUUAGGAGGAGAGAAAACUUCAUGAGCCCGAGGCAGAGCUAUGGAAACAUAUGCAUACCCCAGCCCAGAGGUUGGACUAGAUGGCCUGGCUGUCGGAACACAAGGUUUCUGACAGCUGCCCUCCGUGGCUCCCUCAGGGAUAACAGAACAGUACUUUCUGGAAGCAGAUUCAUGAGGCAGAUCAGAGGAGUUCAGCUGUUGCUGUCUGUAAAAGAAUUUAUAAUUUGUACCUUGCUGCACCCAACUUGCUUUUGGGCAUCCUCACUUGGGUGCUUGAAGUUGGUAUGCCCUCUGUCCAGACAAGCAUCUUCUUGGGCUAUUAAUUAUGUAAUUAAAGGUCUGAACCUUCUCAUUUAAGAUGAUAAUAAAAUGUUUAAAGCUAUGCUGCUUAUAAACUUU
This 754-nucleotide long non-coding RNA is filed under the name Mus spicilegus (steppe mouse). RNAcentral describes it as "lncRNA (ENSMSIG00000012891.1)". Lineage: Eukaryota; Metazoa; Chordata; Mammalia; Rodentia; Muridae. The record is from RNAcentral.